This 30-nucleotide non-coding RNA is filed under the name Mus musculus (house mouse). The record is from RNAcentral. Lineage: Eukaryota; Metazoa; Chordata; Mammalia; Rodentia; Muridae.
UCCGGAAAGACCCGCGUGGCCCUGCGCUGA